RNAcentral lists this long non-coding RNA (585 nucleotides) under Pongo abelii (Sumatran orangutan). RNAcentral describes it as "lincRNA". The record is from RNAcentral. Lineage: Eukaryota; Metazoa; Chordata; Mammalia; Primates; Hominidae.
CAGAAAUGAAAAGUCUGCCUUAUGGAAGACAUGGCACCGACGAUUUCCCUGACAGCACCAUCAUCACGCAGCUAGGCGGCUGACCCGCGUCUUCCUCAUGACGUGGAAUGGUUUGAGUCAAGGGUUUUCAUGGCCAUGAGCCACGUGGAGGCUGUGCCUUUUGUUUCCUCUGAGAAAUCUUCAACCAGCGCCACUCUCAGCCUCCCCUCUGCCAGCGCUUCUGUGACUACACCUGCAUUCGUGGGCUGUGGCUGCGAAGCACAGGAAUAAUUUACGGCUCCUGGGGCACUUUGCUGGGCUGCUUCCGGAAAAGUUGACCCCUCCCUGCAAACCAGCACUGCCCAGCAUUCCUGUCCCGCCAAGCCUGACUGCGAGGCUGUUGUGGCGUUGCCACUUUGCUCGGAAAGGGCCCCUUAUUUUUAUUUCCCUUGCAUUUUUUCAAUUCUACCAUGACCAUUUUUCAUACAUGUGGCCAUCAUUGUAUUUUGCCCCCAUUUUGUGAGGUUUAGCGUAUUCUUAAAGUUUCCUGGGUUUUGAGGAGAGCAUAUUCUGUCAUUAUAUUUAACAGGUGUUUUCCCCAGCUUG